RNAcentral lists this ribosomal RNA (253 nucleotides) under uncultured bacterium. RNAcentral describes it as "partial 16S ribosomal RNA". It matches the Rfam family "Bacterial small subunit ribosomal RNA", at positions 524 to 776 of the family's 1533-position model. The record is from RNAcentral.
UACGUAGGGUGCAAGCGUUAAUCGGAAUUACUGGGCGUAAAGCGUGCGCAGGCGGCUAUGCAAGACAGAUGUGAAAUCCCCGGGCUCAACCUGGGAACUGCAUUUGUGACUGCAUGGCUAGAGUACGGUAGAGGGGGAUGGAAUUCCGCGUGUAGCAGUGAAAUGCGUAGAUAUCAAGAGGAACACCAGUGGCGAAGGCGAGUCCCUGGACAACUUCUGACGCUGAGGCACGAAAGCUAGGGGAGCAAACAGG